Molecule: long non-coding RNA, 544 nt
Organism: Antechinus flavipes (yellow-footed antechinus)
Lineage: Eukaryota; Metazoa; Chordata; Mammalia; Dasyuromorphia; Dasyuridae
Exons: 3
Source: RefSeq, a predicted model, not a curated record
UGUUAUUUGGCAAUUUCUUGUUGUUAUUGUUUGACUUUUUCAAUUUAGAGGCACAUCACAUACUAUUAUAAUCAGAGACUUUAAUACCAUGGUAUCUAGAAACAACUUACCAGAAGAAGAUAGCCCAUCCAGCAGUUUGAGUUUGUUGACUUGAGACAAGGCACAGCUGAGAGAGCAAAGAUAUAAAUCUCUCCAUGAAGAUGCUGCGCCUUCCAAGAAGAUAUAAUGAAGUCCCAUACACAGGAAGGUCCAACACAGCUUCCUCCAGUGUUGUGGCUCAUUUCUGAUGAAAUCCUCCUGAGUGAAAUAAAGAGAGCAGAUGAGUAAAUGACAAAGAUGAGGAUGUUAUUUCCUUCUCCCUUUGUUAGUUGCAAAAUGUGCCAUAUGGACAUAACACAAUGUGCCUUACAGGAAUGAGAGUUUCUGAUAAAGGUUUUUUGUUUUGUUUUGUUUUGUUUUUUUAAAAGAGGGACACAAAGUAGUCAUGAUGAAUGAACUCCAAGCAUGAGACGAUGAAUGAAAUUUGGAAUAAACAUCCUUUCAG